Long non-coding RNA from Salvelinus fontinalis (brook trout), 1052 nucleotides. RefSeq lists it as uncharacterized. The transcript has 5 exons. Lineage: Eukaryota; Metazoa; Chordata; Actinopteri; Salmoniformes; Salmonidae. The record is from RefSeq and is a predicted model, not a curated record.
GAUUAAAGAAGGAUUUUAAAGCCUUGAGACAAUUGAGACAUGGAUUGUGUAUGUGUGCCAUUCGUAGGUUGAACGGGCAAGACAAAAAAUUUAGACCAUGAAGAACAAACUACAAGAAAGGGGCAAAGCUGACGCCUAUAAAGGAUUUUUUUCACACGUUUUAGUCUGAUACAGCAACAUACUGCGGUUGAAGCCUAUUCAGGAUGGACUUGGAGACAAAGACAAGAUGACCAGUAUACACGUUAGAAGGACAAUGAUGAAACUCUGUCUGUUAUAUGAAGGAAAUCUAUCUGUUAUUCUGAACAGCUUUGUCUCUUGCUGUUGUCAGUCAGUCUGAUGUUUGGAGCACCUUCACUCUUGGAGACACAGCUGAUUUGGAAUGCUGCAUCACUGUGUAUGACGAUGGCAGGACAAGCCCCAGAUGUUGUCUCUGUAUUUUCACUGCAAUUUUCUUCGGAGAGUUUAACAAAAAGCGUUGCUUUGCUACGAGGGAGAGUGGCACCAGAUUUGUGGAAAAGCUGCAGAUUCCAGGACCCAGCAUGUUUUACAGUAGUCUGUGUCAGAGUCUCCUGGCUAGACUGACUCAGUGACUUUGAACUGUAUAAUACACACGGAGACCUGUGCAGGAGAGUGCAGUGUUUAUUGGUUCAGACAUGGCUCAGGAGAAUCCCAUCCAGGAAUCAUUUACACCCAUGGAGACAGGAGUGAUCAGUGUGAGAAGAAGAGCCCUGAGGCUGGGUCUCCUACACAGAGCUGUGUCUACAACCUCCGCAAGAGGAACCUCAGCCUCUCUGAUGCUGGGACUUACUACUGUGCUGUGGCCUCAUGUGGGGAGAUACUGUUUGGGAACGGGACCAAGCUGGAUGUUGAAGAUGAGAAUCCUGGUCCUUCUCUCCAUCAUAAGAACUGGAGUUUUCUUGUUGUCCUACCAUCAUCAUCAUCUACACAACCAGGAAAUAGAUAAAGCUAAGGCCAAUAUCAAUAGAACGUAUGUUACUUGCUUUCACCAAAUCCCCGUGUAUGCACUUAUUGUAUUAGCAUGAAUAAAUAGC